AAGUAUUCUCCUUGUAAGCUGAGUAGGGAGACCAAGAGGAGGUUAAAGUGGUAAUUAAUGGCCUAAGAGGAUGCAACGAAAAGCCUCCUCUCAAAGUGUGAGGACAGGAUCUACUAGGCUUGCAAGGCGCUCUGAGAAGCAAAGACGGCUGCGGCUGUGGACACAAGGGACUCGGCGGACGGGAGUACCCGCCACAUUGUGAUCUGGACUCCCCUGAUGAUGGUAGCCUAGACUGCCUCCAACUUCUCAUCACCGUGAAACGAUGGGGCCAUGAGCCUCCUUGCACAUGCCACUAGGGACCUGUGAAAGAAUUUCUUUGGGAUAUGUGCCCAGG
This is a long non-coding RNA of Bos taurus (domestic cattle), 334 nucleotides long. The record is from Ensembl. Lineage: Eukaryota; Metazoa; Chordata; Mammalia; Artiodactyla; Bovidae.